This is a non-coding RNA of Paramormyrops kingsleyae, 1719 nucleotides long. The record is from RefSeq and is a predicted model, not a curated record. Lineage: Eukaryota; Metazoa; Chordata; Actinopteri; Osteoglossiformes; Mormyridae.
ACUUGUGGUCUUGGAAGUUAGUGCAGGAAAUGCUGCAGCAGAAUAAAUAUCUGGCAGAUGAAUCCUACAUGCCCUCUGGCCAAUUUCAAAGUAUAACCUGAGAUUUUGCAAGGUGAGUUUUACAUUGUAAAGUGAACGAAGGAGCCUGAAUUUAAAGUGGCUCCGUUUUCAUGUAAUACUUUAUUACGCCUCCAGGGGAAAAAUGAAAACCAUAUUGAGAAAAUUAUAUUUUACAUUUGCUAAUCUUUUAUUGUGCCUCAAGCUGAUGCAAAUCACAGGUGCUUGUUCAGACAAAGGCCCUGUGCUUAUUGUGGUAACCUACACGUCAUAGUAUAGAUGCCACGCUAUUGUAAGUCAGCCUCUUCCAUAAAUCUAAGCUCAGUGCCUUGCCGGUAAUUCAGAGGUGCUUCCCAUACGUUCUGUCAUGCCAUCAUAUAUCAUGAGUUACACGCCAGUCUGUGUUUUUGUUGAAUUAUUUAAAGCCUAGACAUUAGCCUAGGCUAACAUUUGAGGUACACCUUUCAGAUAGUGGAUAUACACAUGACAUAAAGGCACAUUGUACGCAACGCAGCAACAGAUAGUGAGGCUUUUUUUUUCUUUCCUGUUUUCCCGAAAUUCGGCGUCGACGUUUCAAAACAAACGGAAACACUGCCGGCGGUUCACAAGCCCGAGCGCCGCGACGUGUCACGGCCAGACGGCGACGCGUGAAGCUGCGUGCGCCCCGCUCCAUGCGUGCCCGUCAGCUUGAAAGGGAGAGCUGCGGAUUGCAGGAGAGCGUGCAAAGCCCUGGGGACAGGGGCUGUAUGAUACCAUCGGCCGGAACCAAAUUCCUUGUGAAAUCCUUCCGGGCCUGCAGAGCCCGCCAUCGCCACGCUGCCACAUCCCGCCGGCGUGCACUUCCGGGCCUGCAGAGCCCGCCAUCGCCACGCUGUCACAUCCCGCCGGCGUGCACUUCCGGGCCUGCAGAGCCCGCCAUCGCCACGCUGUCACAUCCCGCCGGCGUGCACUUCCGGGCCUGCAGAGCCCGCCAUCGCCACGCUGUCACAUCCCGCCGGCGUGCACUUCCGGGCCUGCAGAGCCCGCCAUCGCCACGCUGCCACAUCCCGCCGGCGUGCUCUAGGACCCUUCGCUGUCCUCCUCACUCUGCUCACUCAGGUACCUACAGGCACCGUUUUAAUUUUUUUUCCUCCACAGAUGAAUUCUUCGCAGUAUCUUGCACCGAAGGGCCUUCUAGAAUGUUCUCUAGUAAGGGGGUAAGAACUCCCUGCUAGUGUGUGUCAGGCAUUGUGCUGCAGUGGUGAAGGUUAGGCUCUCCGUGUGUGUAAAUGAACAGGGUGCACGUUCUCCUGUAUGCCGUCUAACUUGGCAAGCACGGCUCGCUAUUGUGCCCUCCGGAGGACAUCAACAAACAUCAGCUUGUUCCUUAUUGUGAGCUGGGAUCAAUUAGGUUGUCCUGCGCUAAUUAACCCUCUAAUCAAUCUUAUUUGUUCUCCCAGUGGAGCCCACAAAGGCUUGAGGCACGGGCUUCCAGUAAAGAUCGCAGUGAAGGACGUGCUUGGGGGCCGUCACUGGCCACUUACACUGGGAUGUCUCCCAGCAGUCACUCUCUCCCGGCUUCUUUCACGUGAGUCUGAUGUAUCGUACGCAUUACGGUCAUAAGCGUGUGCGGGUGACGCCAUUAAUAUGCUAAAUAAAGAAAACGCUUUUAUUAUCAAAUUA